UACGUAGGGUGCAAGCGUUGUCCGGAAUUAUUGGGCGUAAAGAGCUCGUAGGCGGCUUGUCGCGUCGGCUGUGAAAACCUGGGGCUCAACCCCGGGCCUGCAGCCGAUACGGGCAAGCUAGAGUUCGGUAGGGGAGACUGGAAUUCCUGGUGUAGCGGUGAAAUGCGCAGAUAUCAGGAGGAACACCGGUGGCGAAGGCGGCCCCCUGGACCGGUACUGACGCUGAGGCGCGAAAGCGUGGGUAGCAAACGGG
This 253-nucleotide ribosomal RNA is filed under the name uncultured bacterium. RNAcentral's name for it is "partial 16S ribosomal RNA". It matches the Rfam family "Bacterial small subunit ribosomal RNA", at positions 524 to 776 of the family's 1533-position model. The record is from RNAcentral.